Molecule: ribosomal RNA, 301 nt
Filed under: uncultured bacterium
Lineage: Bacteria
Description: partial 16S ribosomal RNA
Rfam family: Bacterial small subunit ribosomal RNA
Source: RNAcentral
CAGUAGCCGCGGUAAUACGUAGGUGGCAAGCGUUGUCCGGAAUUAUUGGGCGUAAAGGGCUCGCAGGCGGUUUCUUAUGUCUGAUGUGAAAGCCCCCGGCUCAACCGGGGAGGGUCAUUGGAAACUGGGAAACUUGAGUGCAGAAGAGGAGAGUGGAAUUCCACGUGUAGCGGUGAAAUGCGUAGAGAUGUGGAGGAACACCAGUGGCGAAGGCGACUCUCUGGUCUGUAACUGACGCUGAGGAGCGAAAGCGUGGGGAGCGAACAGGAUUAGAUACCCGCGUAGUCCCUGUCUCUUAUAC